AUGGUGUGUAACCCUGGGCAAAUCACAACCUCUUUUUGUUCUCAGGCAAUUCUCUUAAGAGUUGAAGUUAUAGCUGAAUUUCUGAUCUGUAUUAGUAGAAGUUUUCACACUAGAAGUUCCUUGAUGAACUCAUGGGGACGUAUGUGGAUGGAGGAGGGAGGGAGAGAGAGAAAGAAAGAGAAAAAGAGACAGACAGAGGGAGAAAGAGAGAGACAGAGGGAAAGCAGGGGAGAGAGGGAGAGAAGAGAGGAGAGAGAAAGAGAGGGGGAGGGAAAAAGAGGAGAAGAAAGAGGGAAAGAGAAAAAAGAGGACAUUGGAGAGAGAGAGCACAUCUUUAAAUAAUUAGAAAUUUCUCUUGGUGCUAGGCAUUAGGUUCAUGGGCUCUGGGAAACUAUCUAAAAUAUCACUGCCUCAUAUUACAAGUGAGGCAACUGAGUGGCAGAGAAAAAAAAAAGUCUUUUCCAAAGGCCCUGGGUGAAGGUAGGGUUAGUUACAGGUAGUAAGUGGCUCAACAACCCAGGUCCUUCUUUAGCUCUUCCUUUUAUACCCAGGCCCUCUCCCCUGGCUUCUGGCUUUCUUGUCCUUUUCUCUGUCCUCCUCAGGCAUGGUCCUACCUUGUCAAAAAUCAUUGGCAGGGUAGAACAGCAGGAUCUAGUGAUUGAAAAGAGGGACAGUGAAGAUUUCACACUGGAGACUGGUGAGAUGGAAAGGAAGAGAAGCUUUGGGAAACCUGGCCUGACUUUUUUGCUGCUCAGAUCUGUAUUCUUCCCCAAAGAGAGCACAGUGACGGAGUCCCAACCUGAGCAGAGAAAAUGAUCCCUGCUUUCCACAAAUUUAUACCCUAAUGUCCAGCCCCAGCAACUUUUCUCUGCCAAGACCAUAGGAUUUAGGGACCUUAGGGACUCUCUAGUCCAAGGCUCUCAUUUUAUAAAGGAGGAAACAGGCCCCCAAACCAUAAAUUAGUCCUGGAAGGGAUCUUAGAUAUCGUUUAAUCCCAUCUCUGCCACCCCCUCCCAUUUCCCCAGAAAAGGAAACUGAGGCUUAGAGACUUGUGCAGAAUUGCACAGCUAGUGUCAGAGAUACGUUUGGACGAGUCUUUGGAUUUGAAUUUAGGUCCCCUGAAUCCAGAACCAAAUCUCUUUGGACACUACAUUGCCUCUAUUCCCACAAGCCUCCCCACCCCCCUGGAUUUUCUCACAGCCCCUAGUCCAACCUCCCCCCUCUCCCGCCCCAGCUCCCACCUCCACCCUCCCACCUCAUCCACCCACUCCCAUCCUGCCGCAUCCGUUGUUCCCCUCUCCUAGGCCCGGUGCACUUUGCGCGCUGCUCUAGGGCUGACGUU
Molecule: long non-coding RNA, 1342 nt
Filed under: Monodelphis domestica (gray short-tailed opossum)
Lineage: Eukaryota; Metazoa; Chordata; Mammalia; Didelphimorphia; Didelphidae
Description: lncRNA (ENSMODG00000039261.1)
Source: RNAcentral